Molecule: non-coding RNA, 73 nt
Organism: Podarcis lilfordi (Lilford's wall lizard)
Lineage: Eukaryota; Metazoa; Chordata; Lepidosauria; Squamata; Lacertidae
Source: the annotation of a GenBank genome assembly
GGCUGGAUAGCUUGGUUGGUAGAGCCUGAAACUCUUAAACCCAGAGUCGUGGGUUUGAGCCCCACACUGGGUG